RNAcentral lists this ribosomal RNA (490 nucleotides) under uncultured bacterium. RNAcentral describes it as "bacterial SSU rRNA". It matches the Rfam family "Bacterial small subunit ribosomal RNA", at positions 32 to 507 of the family's 1533-position model. The record is from RNAcentral.
GACGACGCUGGCGGCGUGGAUUAGGCAUGCAAGUCGAACGGUAUCAUCCUUUCGGGGGUGAGAGAGUGGCGAACUGGUGAGUAACACGUAGGUUAUCUACCCUCAAGACGGGGACAACCCAGGGAAACUUGGGCUAAUACCGGAUGUGAGCAACUUUUAGUUGUUUGAAAGGUGGCGUAAGCUGUCGCUUGGGGAUGAGCCUGCGUCCUAUUAGUUAGUUGGUGAGGUAACGGCUCACCUAGGCAAUGAUAGGUAGGCGGCCUUAACGGGUGGUCGCCCACACUGGGAUUGAGAUACGGCCCAGACUCCUACGGGAGGCAGCAGUCGAGAAUAGUCUACAAUGGUCGGAAGACUUUUUGAUAGUGCGACGCCGCGUGAACGAUGAAUCCCUUCGGGGUGUAAAGUUCUUUUAUAUGUGAGCAGUGCUUCUUAUAUUAACAGUAUGGGGAGAGAGAUAUUAGCAUAUGAAUAAGCCCCGGCUAACUCCGUG